Danaus plexippus (monarch butterfly) is the source of this 3839-nucleotide RNA transcript. It is a transcript of the gene named partitioning defective 3 homolog, with no coding region annotated. The record is from RefSeq and is a predicted model, not a curated record. Lineage: Eukaryota; Metazoa; Arthropoda; Insecta; Lepidoptera; Nymphalidae. The transcript is spliced from 22 exons.
AAUUUUUACUCAUACCGUUUGUCAUGACCGUUGCUGUCGCUGAUCGCGCUCUUAAUGCUCGUAUUUCGCGUAAUCUUAUCGAAAUGUGCUCGAUGUUGAAUGUCGUUACUGAACCUGACUACUAAAAAUACAAACAAAUAAAUCGCUCAUAUUAUCUCGUGCAAACGGCCGUUUUAUAUUCGCUAUGAAAACUUACGACGAAACCUGUGGUUUGGCCCUUUUUGUUUCAACGGUGCUUUGUGAACGAAUUCGACGUAGGGCUACCUUCGCCAUGUGCGUCAGAUAGUGCUGUGCUUCUAUUAGUUUUUAGACAAACUAAUAUGUUAGUAAUAAAUGGAUCUUGCUAUGUGUAGUGAGCGCAGAGCGCGCAGUUUUAGUGAUUCAUAAAGUGAGUAGUGUCAGUAUGAAGGUGACGGUGUGUUUUGGUUCCGUGCGGGUUUUGGUACCUUGUGGCGCUGGCGACCUCUUAGUCAGGGACCUCGUACGGGAAGCUACGCUCCGAUACAAAAAGGCUACUGGACAGGGACCAGAGACAUGGGUUGGAGUAAGAGCGCUUCGCGCCAGCUCUGGAGGGAUCCUAGACCCAGAUGAUAAGGUCCGCGAUGUAGCUGAUGAUCGCGAAACCCUCACAGCCGAGUGCACCAACCAAAGUCAUCCCCGCGCAGCCCAAGCAGAUGGCGCCAGUGGCUCGUCUGCCGGUACCGCCUCACCUGACAUGUUUAGGGGCGGAGGCGGUGUUGGUGGCAGUAUGAGGGUUCCAAAUACAGACUCGUGCGUAGAGGUCGGCGCCGCAGACCUCGACAGUGCCAACGGUCUUCAGGUCCGACGAGGCAGCGAACCAACCCUGCAUCAAGAUACCUUACCUCCUCAAACACAGGUAUCAGAUCAAACCAAGAGAUGGUCGGCGGCGGUUGUGUGUCGGGAAGACACCAGUCGAGGUCAAAGUAAGAUACCUCCAGAGGUCAGCCCAGACAAACACGGACACUUCCAGAGACAGACGAAUCGCUUGUCAAUGCAGUUCUCUGGACCAGGAAGUGGGGUGUGGUUGGAUGCAGCAGAACGGGUCCAGAUAUACGGCAGUAAGAGUCUACCUCGAGAUGCGAGAAAGGAACCCUUAGGCCAAGACACGCCAGUUAACGAUCAAAGCCACAGAGUAGAAGACAUGCUGAGAUGGGUCUCCGGUGUGAACAAUGUGGCCAGCGUACAUCCUGUACAAGAAAGGACAUUGGAUUUAUUACCUGAAGGUAACAGUGAACGAGCGAUUACUGGUAUGGAAGUUCCAGUGAGCCCGAGCAAACCGGCCGCCACUCACACCGUGUCCGUGACUCUGGUCAAGGGCGAGAAAGGCCUGGGAUUCACUAUCACCACCAGAGACAACCCCACCGGUGGACACUGCCCCAUAUAUAUAAAGAACAUAUUACCUAAGGGAGCGGCUGUAUCAGACGGUCGUCUUCGUGCUGGUGAUCGUCUGGUGUCUGUGUGCGGUGUGCCGGCGGCCGGGCGGACUCAGCAGCAACUGGUCACACUCCUCAGGAACACUCCCACAGACGCCGCGGUUGAGAUCGUUGUCGAACGUGCGCUGACACAACGGACUCAGAGGGUAGAACCGCAACAGAGUCCUACAAAGUACACUGAAAAGCCGAUCGGCGCUACACCCAUACAAAAGCCUAUAGAAGCUAACAAGUCAGACGGCGGUCGAGUGUCAAGUAUAGUGAAUGCGAUCAAUAAUAACAACGGGUCCACCAGGGGUCGGAUACCGAAAAGCUCCUCCAAAGAUGACCUUCUGAAGGAGCAUCCUGUAGACACAGCUCUACAGGAUGUUCUCAACAGUUCUUCAAAUUCUCUUUUAGGUCUCCGCAAUCGUCUGAUUCUAAGGUUGGAUGUACCAGUUCACGACUCUGAGAAGGCUGGUUUAGGUAUCAGCGUGAAGGGUAAGGUCACUGUGGGUCCUGACCCCCAUGACCUUGGUAUUUUCAUUAAAUCUGUUCUAAACGGCGGUGCUGCGUCCAGGGACGGAAGGUUGCAUACCAACGACCAGUUGUUGAGUGUGAACGGUGUGUCGCUGGUGGGUCAGUCUAAUGCGGAGGCCAUGGAGACCUUAAGACGAGCGCUGUUACACGCACGGCCACAUGUCAGAGGAAGCAUCUCACUCACCAUCGCCAGGAGAACCGAUAGUAUGGACAGUCUUGCUAGAUGGAAGGACGACACGCCUCCCAACGGCAACGAUUCCACCAACUCCAACGACAACAGCAACUCACAGAACUACAACACGGUCAUAUACAACACAGCACACGACAAAGAGAACAAACCGAUCGACGAUCAGAACAAAUCCGAUUCAAAGGAGAGUCUGACCAGAGACGUGCGCGGCAGCAAGAAACACGCUUCAAUAGUCACCAUAAACAAUAACAGCUGGACGUCCAACCAAUCGGAUGACAGCAAGGGCUAUCUAGAGAGAGACAAAGAUACCAUACCCCAUGAUAGUAAGAGGGACAGCUUCGAGUGGAGUCGCCUCGACGGAUGGAACCCGGUCAUCGAUAGGUUAACCGGUUUGAGGAACGAGAGUUACUAUAUGGCGACUCAGGAACCCACCAUCAAUGGACAUCACUAUAGAAGCAAUAUGGGACAUGUGCACAUGACGCGAUCACCGCCCGCACACCAUAAUGUCAUUAUAGAGGAGGACUAUGGCACUAACAGAGGCAGUGCUGGUGAAUCUGGCAGUGAGAGUGGAGCGUUCAGUAGAGACGCGGUCGGGAGACGGUCUAUGUCGGAGAAAAGACACGCGGCCAUGGACGCUAAGACUACAGGGACCUAUAGGAAGAUCAAGGAAAAUAAAGCCAUACAUGCACUUCAAGUCGGUCCAUCCCUCGGCAUGCGGAAGUCGUCCAGCUUAGAAUCUCUCCAGACAGCGAUCCAGGAGACUCAAAGGAACCCCAGCAGAAAUGAACCGAUAUACUCACGGGCACAUCCUCCUCUAAAGCAUUGGUUGACGGACGACAACACAGCACCAGAGACCAUGUUCCGCGGUUCACCUCAACAGUCCUCGCUGUCUCUGAAGAAACCCUCGCUACUGAAAUCACUAUCCACGAUGUUCAGAAUGGGAAAACCUCCAAAAAAAGAAGUGGAUACAUACGUGCGGUCUCAAGCGGGACGAACCUCGGAGAAGUCACUCUCGACUAACAGUGACCGACAAGCGAGAGACGAAGACAGGGACGAUCGUUCGCGUCACAGUCGUCAGAGCAGCGGCGAGAGACGAUCCGCCGGCAGGACGGCGCCCUCACACGCGCACGAACCACCGCCAAUGAACGACGCGUGGGGUCCGACCGGACAUUAUGUGAACUACGAAGAAAUACAACAAACGCUGAACGCUCGUCGUGAAAAACUCAGCGAAGUGCAGCUGGGACAAGCCAGACGUUCAGCACACAGGGAUAGAGACAGUCGUAGAGGCGGAUACAAUUCUCAGCGGUCGUGCAAGGAGUCAGUGCGGCCUCAGUCAAACUGUUACGAAUACGAGAGCGUCCCUCCACGUCGACCUGGGAAACUAUCACAUUACCACUGACCACCACGACGGUUACCAUCAGUUCAUAGGAAUUAUACUGAUACCCCGACGUGGAGUGGGAGUAAAGUGAAAGGUUAGCAAAUAUGGCGGCUCUCAUGACUUGCAUCCACUGACCGUGUACCAUUUAUAUUCUUAGUCAUUCGACUAGUGCUUUAUGUUACAUCAAUGAAUCAAGUCUAGUUAUGAAGUGGAGCGUCCGAUGGCGAAAGUGUUACAGGUGUUUGAAAAAUGUUCAUUUCUGGGGCAUGCAUCUGACUGGGUCGCGUGCUAUGAACAUCCGACC